AUUUUUUAAAAAACGAAUAAAGCAGUACCCUUCCUACAAGUACAGAAAAGCAUAGUAUUUCUAUUUACUCUUAGAAUUGUAGACAUAGGAUGAGGUGAGUGUUUCCCUUAGGGUGGCAUUUGUCAAGGUAGACCUGUACUUACACUCCUGUUUUCUCUUUUCUUUUAUAGAGGCCGUCUGGUUCCUGUGUGUGUCUGAGAUAGCAUGGAUGAGUGUUUGGGGCCUACUUAUGACUAAGCCCCCAGACACAUCUCAGCCAAGUAUUAGUUUCAAGGAGAACACUCAAAAGGGAGUAAAGCUGAGACACUGAAUUGUUGUGAGAACUGAAUUGGAGGAAUCAAGUCACAGAUGAGCUUUUACCUCAAGAAUUUUCGUCAUUGCUGCCCUUGGAACUGCAAACCACCCGGGAACACACCAUAUAAAGAAGCAUGUUUAUAAAGAAUGAAUUUGCCACUAGAACUUGAACAUAAAAAAUGAAUGUGCAGUCCUAAGCAAUUUUAAUCUCAUAACCAAGGGAAUAAAAUCACCUAAUAUCUUUAUCUAAAAUCUAAC
Molecule: long non-coding RNA, 552 nt
Filed under: Felis catus (domestic cat)
Lineage: Eukaryota; Metazoa; Chordata; Mammalia; Carnivora; Felidae
Description: lncRNA (ENSFCAG00000043934.2)
Source: RNAcentral